Molecule: long non-coding RNA, 192 nt
Organism: Sphaeramia orbicularis (orbiculate cardinalfish)
Lineage: Eukaryota; Metazoa; Chordata; Actinopteri; Kurtiformes; Apogonidae
Exons: 3
Source: RefSeq, a predicted model, not a curated record
CCCAGUGGGAAAAGAGAAACCUGAGGGAGAACCACAGUGAAGGACAGAUCCACUAUGGACGGACAGACUGUAGAUGAACCAGGGCCGAUGGACGUCCAUUUACAGAUGUAGUUCCAGUCUGUAAAGAUGCAGCAGGGUGGGGGCACAUGAGGGGGUCCAUCUACUCAGAUGAGGCAGGAAAAGGUGAGUAGG